Molecule: transfer RNA, 73 nt
Organism: Acromyrmex echinatior (Panamanian leafcutter ant)
Lineage: Eukaryota; Metazoa; Arthropoda; Insecta; Hymenoptera; Formicidae
Rfam family: tRNA
About the family: Transfer RNA (tRNA) molecules are approximately 80 nucleotides in length. Their secondary structure includes four short double-helical elements and three loops (D, anti-codon, and T loops).
Source: Rfam
GCCUCGGUGGUCUAAAGGCUUAGGACGCUCGCCUGGAAAGCAAGAGAUCCGGAUUCGACUUCCGGCCGAGGGG